This is a non-coding RNA of Misgurnus anguillicaudatus (oriental weatherfish), 2699 nucleotides long. The record is from RefSeq and is a predicted model, not a curated record. NCBI's taxonomy places the organism in Eukaryota, Metazoa, Chordata, Actinopteri, Cypriniformes, Cobitidae.
CACUGUAAAAAAUUUCUGUAAAUUUACAGGGAAAUUCAACAGCAAAAUGCUGUUUUCGUGUAAUAACAGUAAGUUGCUGUUUUUUACAGUGCAUUGUGGGUAGACUCGCUCACUUCAGGUCUGUUGUCGAGCAACAACAGAAUGUUACUGUUAUUUAACAGUAUUAUAGCAUAUUUUUCGUUGUGCACGCCAUUUUGGAUUGUCUGCAUGAGGUAGGUCUGCAGCUUUAUCGAUGCUUGUGCUAAUUUUAAAUUACAUAUUACUUUUAAAUAUUGCAUUUUAUCCAGUGAAGCUUUUCAAAAAUAAAUCAGAUUUAAUUUCCUAUUUUAAUCAGGCAAAGUGGGUAUUCUACCAUCACAUCAGUUACACUCACAUCAGAUCACAGGUAAGAAUUCACCAAAGUUUUAUCCAACCUGUUUAUUUUACUAAAAUGUGUGUAAAAGAUGAAUGAGGAACGAUCAAAAUCAAUUAUGGGUUUUGUGUCUUUACAUUUUUAAUGUGUGCAUUCUGUCUAUGCAAGUGAAAGAUACGCUUGUGUUAUCUGCAAAUUUGCCUGGUUUUUGUAUUGUCUUAAAAUCCUUUUAAAAUCCUUUGUUACCAAGUAUAUGUACAAAUAACACUAAAAAGAUCUGAUAUUUGUAAAUUCAUUACAUGCUGGUUAGCUGGUUGAAACAUCCUGUUGUAUGUGGCACGCUUUUAUUGGUGGUAAGACACAUUAAGUUUAUAAAAUGGACAUUGUCUCUGUUGCAAACAUGAUUUCAAACUUGUUAAGUCAUUAUGCAUCAAGUACAAGAAAGUGCAGUCAAACUUGAAUUUAUGUUUAUGGUUAGAAACUGAUGUAUAUUUAAAAAGUGUUACAGUUUUGUCCGUAGCAAAACCAAUUGAAUCGCAUCAAAAGAUUACUUCUUGACUCAUCUGAAUUACUUUUAUCCUCCAUGUAGGGUUAUUUUGGUGCUUUGGUGCUAUUUUUGUCCUUAUUCCCUUUUCGUGCAUUGUGUAGACAAACAAAUAUUACAGAUAUUAUUAAGAUGUGUGCCACUCCUGCUGACUUUAAGAAGACUAGUAACUCACCUGUGACACCUUGUUUGAUCCUGUUUGCAUCUUUGGCUAUAUUCUUGGCGAGAACCGGUUAAUGAUAACAUCUUCAACUUGCAAAAAGUGAGAGCAGCAUCCACACUGGAAGUCCUUUAAAGGUAACAAGUUAUUUUUCAAUUUUUUCAUUAAUAUGGUACUUAGUAUGUUGACCUAAAAGGAAUGGUUCCACAUAAAAUAAUGAUUUAAUUAACUUAACUCAAUUUUAACUUGUGACUGUCUUUAAAGGUUGAAUUUGUAACUUUUGAGGAGGCAAUUUUGACGCUUCAUUAAAAUCAUACCGGGAACCAAGGCUGCAAAGGGAAAAGUGACCUCUAAAACAGGAAAACUGCAAAAGAAGACCAUCAACAGUCAGUCUCAAACUAUCAAAUCUUUUAAAAAGACUUAUGGACUUUGAGUGGUACUUCAUUUAAAAUGUAGCUGAUACUUCCCACCAAUACAGUUUUUUUUUUAAAUAUGGUGGGCUGAAGUAAUGGCAGGUGACUUUUCUGAGGAGGCACGAAUGCAUAUCUAGCCAAAACAUUGUCAUGUGUGUGGCUCGUCAUUUCAAGAUGUGCGUUCGGCGCGUCAUGUGAACCUGUGCAUCGCGUGUCAUGUCAAAAUACGUGCCUGCUCCAGACACUUUGAAGGGGAUUAUGAUAAAAGAGAUGCUCACUUUUGCCAUACUAGCUUAAUCUCAUGUGUAAUCAGAGUUUAGUGUUAAAUGAGUGUCUUGCGAGUAUCAUGUAAAUGUCUUUUUUAUUCUUUAUCAUAUUCAAAGCGUUUGCGGCAGGCACGUAUUUUGACAUGAUGUGUGAUCCAUAUAGGUUUACAUUACACUCCAUUCCAGCCACCACUGGGGGGGUGGUGUUUUUAAUACUGGUUUGUAUAUUAUAGACCAUGUUUUCGUAUUUAAAAUUGGGCUGGUGUCUGGUAAAGAAUUAGCAAAUUAAUGUUUUAUUGAAUUCUUUUAAAAAUGUGGUGUUUUUACAGUUGUUAAACUUUUGUGCUUUUUUUAAAUCAAAAUUUUAAACUACAUUUGUAUUUUAAGUAAAGAUAAGGCAUCUCAAUAUUGUUCUUUGUUUGUUAGAUUUUUUGUGUCAUUUUUUGUAUUAUAUGUUAUUGGUGCCUUUUAAUUGCACCACAGUUUAUGCACUGAAUAUUAAAAUAUAUCUGCUUGUAUUUCUGCCUGUUUUAUGGCAUAACAAACAUAGCAUAACAGUCAAUCUGGUGUUGAAUAAAGAAUAAAAAAUUCAUAACCUGUCCUUUUUUGUUUUAUGUUAUCCACUUUGACAAAUAUAAAAUGCAGGGUGUAAUAGCAUUUAAAUUUUAAAAUAAUGGAGGUGUGACUAAUACAGUAUGUACUGUAAAUUAACAGGUAUAUGAUGCUAAAUAACAGUUUUAUGCUGUAGAUAACAAAAACAGUAUCAUGCUAUUAAAUAACAGCUGUAUUCUGUAGGUAACAAAAACAGUACCAUGCUGUUAAAAUAACAGUUGACUGCUGUAGGUAACAAAACAGUAUCAUGCUGUUUUUUCUAAUAACAGUAUCCCGCUGUAAAUUAACAGUGCAAUGCUGGCAACCACAGCUUCCAGCAUAAUACCGUUUUUUUACAGGGAAAUUUUUUACA